AACGAACGCUGGCGGCAUGCCUAACACAUGCAAGUCGAACGAGACCGUCGGGUCUAGGGGCGCACGGGGGCGGAACGCGGGGGAAGCUACCCGUGGGUUCGGUAUAACUGCCCGAAAGGUGUGCUAAUGACAGAUGAUGUCAUCGGACCAAAGAUUUAUCGCCGUUGGAUGGGCGCGCGUUGGCUUAGGUGGUUGGGAGGGUAAAAGCAUACCAAGGCGACGAUCCAGGGCUGGUCUGAGAGGAUGCUCCGCCACACUGGGACUGCGACACGGCCCAGACUCCUACGGGACGGUGCAGUAUGGUAUAUUAGGCAAUGAGCGAAGGCCUGACACAGCCGCGCCGCGUAUGUGAUGCAGCGCUUAGUAUUGUAAUUCUGUUUUAGCCGGGAUGAUAAUGACAGUACCGGGUGAAUAAGCACCGGCUAACUCCGUG
RNAcentral lists this ribosomal RNA (433 nucleotides) under uncultured bacterium. RNAcentral's name for it is "partial 16S ribosomal RNA". It matches the Rfam family "Bacterial small subunit ribosomal RNA", at positions 29 to 507 of the family's 1533-position model. The record is from RNAcentral.